This 429-nucleotide ribosomal RNA is filed under the name Triticum aestivum (bread wheat). RNAcentral describes it as "partial small subunit ribosomal RNA". Lineage: Eukaryota; Viridiplantae; Streptophyta; Magnoliopsida; Poales; Poaceae. The record is from RNAcentral.
AUGAAGCAGGAACUUAAAGAGGGCACAAGUAAUCUUUUUUUUUUCAAGAAAAGCUCGUACAUGUGGUGCAAAUGCACUUGGAGAUGGUUGGAAUGCCAUAUUCAUCGCAGGCUGUUGUUGCUGCACAUACUGGACACCAAGCUGGAGCAUGACUGCUUGGAAAUCUCUGUGCCAAAGUAUUCACUGGCUGCUACACGAAAUGCAGAAGACAAGAAACUUGAACAACACGCUGAGACAAAGUUGGAGUUUUCUGACAGAGGAACGUACAACUGGGAGAGAAGCAAAAAGUUUUCCUGUCGUUUAGCUGUACAUGGGCCUUUUGCUCUCCUGUUGUGUGUUUGCUGCGUUCAUGGGCAGGGACACAGGUACAGCGGGCCAAACAAACAGCAAAAACAAAAAACAAACAAGCAAGCAAAGCCCACACCAUAA